This 220-nucleotide unclassified non-coding RNA is filed under the name Hevea brasiliensis (rubber tree). Lineage: Eukaryota; Viridiplantae; Streptophyta; Magnoliopsida; Malpighiales; Euphorbiaceae. The record is from RNAcentral.
GGAUGACCAUAGUGGAACCGAACCCUAAAUUGGAAGAAAAAAAUGGUUGUGGAAAUUUAGCAUGAUAAAUAUGAAAUUAAAAAAAGAAAAUCUGUGAAAAACGUUUAAGUUGAGCAAAAGACAACAUAUAGAUUAACAAUCAAUAAAAGCCUAUCGAUGUAUCUAAGAAAUGAUAAUCUGCAAUAAAAUGUGACAAAAAAUACUGCCAUUCGUGUUAAAC